GUUCAGCUGUACAGAGUUGAUUUCUCUACAUAUUAAGAUCAGAAAUAAUGUGCCAUGGGGUGAUCUUUGAGUUCAGUUGCAGGCAGUCAAUUUGUCCACAUAUUAAGAUCAGAGAUAAUGUGCCAUGGUGACCUGUGUAUAACUGAAAUUCAGAAUGAACUCAAUCUACCAUGUGAGUGCCUGCGAUACACUCAGGUUGCAGUUUCUCAAAUACUGAAUGUUUAGUCCCUUGAGACUCCAUAUUGGCUCAACUUGCAGUUUUCUGAACUCUAUUUCAGAAUGUUAUACCCGAUGUCUCGGCUCGCAAUUUUUGGUGUUGCUUCUGUUCUUUGGUGACAGUUAGCUAUCUGAAUGGUUUAGCAAAGGAUAGCUACAUAGUAUGGCAAAGUACAUUUGGUAUCCCGCUGAAGCUGAAAACAUACAGAGCACCUGUAAUUAGUUUUUGGUCGACGAAUUUCAGCUAGAUUAUAGUGUUGCGGCUCUGAACUGUGGUGAUUGUGUGUGAGUGGAAUUUUAGCUAGGUCGCUGCCCUCGCGCCCUUCGCUGCGGGAGCCGGAGCCGCCCACCGCUCGAGCGGCUCAGCUUGCCCUGGCCUCCGCCCCGCCGCCCCGGUCCUAUUCUGCCCCCACGCGAUUCGAUGAUGAGGACGCUAGCGGAGAACCGCUGCUACAAAUCCUCACGCUCGCCUCCACCAGUCACAUGGUCUCCAGUCAUCAAGACACCCCACCCUCCUCGACUGCUGCUGGUGCUGCCGACACCACUAUUCUUCCUCUCGAUCCGGUUCCGGCGAGGAACCCAUCACCGCGCCGACCAGUCCAAGGAACUCACAUCACCUCCAUCAAGGAAAACAAUGACCUAUGUGAUUACAAAUGUGUGCUUGCUUCUUCAUGAAGAGCCAAAAAAGAAGUAUAGACGUUGAUGCAAAUGUAUGGAGCACGGUCACCAACAGAUCCACACAUUUGGUCAGUGAUGAAUCAAUGCAACCUAUUGG
Molecule: long non-coding RNA, 991 nt
Organism: Triticum aestivum (bread wheat)
Lineage: Eukaryota; Viridiplantae; Streptophyta; Magnoliopsida; Poales; Poaceae
Exons: 3
Source: RefSeq, a predicted model, not a curated record